UACAGAGGUGCCGAGCGUUAGGCGGAAUCACUGGGCUUAAAGCGUGUGUAGGCGGAUGCCUAAGUACCUUGUGAAAUCCCACGGCUCAACCGUGGAACUGCUUGGUAUACUGGGUGUCUUGAGCUAUCUAGGGGCAACUGGAACAAACGGUGGAGCGGUGAAAUGCGUAGAUAUCGUUUGAAACGCCAAUGGUGAAAACAGGUUGCUGGGGAUAUGCUGACGCUGAGACACGAAAGCCAGGGGAGCAAACGGG
Molecule: ribosomal RNA, 253 nt
Filed under: uncultured bacterium
Lineage: Bacteria
Description: partial 16S ribosomal RNA
Rfam family: Bacterial small subunit ribosomal RNA
Source: RNAcentral